RNAcentral lists this long non-coding RNA (680 nucleotides) under Malus domestica (apple). RNAcentral's name for it is "long non-coding RNA (MDOM_LNC013861)". The record is from RNAcentral. Lineage: Eukaryota; Viridiplantae; Streptophyta; Magnoliopsida; Rosales; Rosaceae.
UUGGCCUCUAGAGAAUGUUGCCUCACGAUGAUACGAUGUCGGCUCCAUUGCACUUAGAUUAAGUUAUUCCCACCAUGCUUAGUUUGUGAAGGGGUUCAAGAAUAGCCUCACGAUGAUACGAUGUCGGCUAUCCUCGUUGCCUACACUCACCUCAUCAUAUGUUUAUGAACUCCUCCUGGAUGUAAGCACAUACUUUGAACUCCCCCAUGAUAGGGUGAAGCCGGUGCAUGAGUCACAAACGAUUGGAGCCCACCACGGUGGAAGGCCUAUGAAGAGAUGUUCAAAACAUCUCUCGCUUAUCAACUUAAUAUUCGUUUGUCGAGGGAGUAGUUUUGGGCUACAUCAAAACAUUUUAAUCACAUUAAAAGAACUUGGGCCUAUCACAACCAUUGGUCCGAGUUUAAUAUGAAUUAGUAGUUUAUAAUACUCCCACUAUUUCGAAGAAAUAAGUGAGACUAUAUGGAACUACUAACGAAUGCAUUGCAUCCUCAUAUGGACUAUAUAGUCAUAUUAGGUCUUAGGAUGAUUAUGAAUCGAUUAAUUUGAUCCAACACGAGCCUUGUGUUGGACCUUGGGUUGAAGGUAGAUAGUUGUUGAUUUUAGUUACGCAUUUAAUCCAAUUAAACCGUUAUUUCCUAUUGGGCGUUGGACCCAACUAUUCCAUUUUGCAUACAUAUAAA